UACGUAGGUGGCGAGCGUUGUCCGGAUUUACUGGGCGUAAGAGCGCGCAGGCGGUCGUUCAAGUCGCGUGUGAAAGCCCCCGGCUCAACUGGGGAGGGUCACGCGAUACUGAUCGACUCGAAGGCAGGAGAGGGAAGUGGAAUUCCCGGUGUAGUGGUGAAAUGCGUAGAUAUCGGGAGGAACACCAGUGGCGAAGGCGACUUCCUGGCCUGUUCUUGACGCUGAGGCGCGAAAGCUAGGGGAGCAAACAGG
This 252-nucleotide ribosomal RNA is filed under the name uncultured bacterium. RNAcentral describes it as "partial 16S ribosomal RNA". It matches the Rfam family "Bacterial small subunit ribosomal RNA", at positions 524 to 776 of the family's 1533-position model. The record is from RNAcentral.